This 143-nucleotide ribosomal RNA is filed under the name Ophiopogon japonicus. RNAcentral describes it as "5.8S ribosomal RNA". The stretch from base 67 to 143 matches the Rfam family "5.8S ribosomal RNA", at positions 1 to 77 of the family's 154-position model. Rfam says of the family: 5.8S ribosomal RNA (5.8S rRNA) is a component of the large subunit of the eukaryotic ribosome. It is transcribed by RNA polymerase I as part of the 45S precursor that also contains 18S and 28S rRNA. Lineage: Eukaryota; Viridiplantae; Streptophyta; Magnoliopsida; Asparagales; Asparagaceae. The record is from RNAcentral.
UUGUCGGAGAGCGUCGCGUGCCGGUCUCGGCGCGCAGCGUGAUCCUUCCAUACGUCGAACCUUUACGACUCUCGGCAACGGAUAUCUUGGCUCUCGCAUCGAUGGAAAACGCAGCGAAAUGCGAUACUUGGUGUGAAUUGCAG